RNAcentral lists this ribosomal RNA (759 nucleotides) under uncultured Alloiococcus sp. RNAcentral describes it as "bacterial SSU rRNA". It matches the Rfam family "Bacterial small subunit ribosomal RNA", at positions 26 to 766 of the family's 1533-position model. The record is from RNAcentral. Lineage: Bacteria; Bacillati; Bacillota; Bacilli; Lactobacillales; Carnobacteriaceae.
AGGACGAACGCUGGCGGCAUGCCUAAUACCCGCAAGUCGAACGCCAAAUCUUCCUGCUUGCAGGAAGAGGCGGAGUCGGCGAACGSGUGAGUAACACGUGAGGAACUUGCCCAUAAGAGGGGGAUAACACCCGGAAACGGGUGCCUAAUACCGCAUAGGUUUUCCUAGUGCAUGCUGGGAAAAUAAAAGGUGGCUCUGCUACCGCUUAUGGAUAGCCUCGCGGCGCAUUAGCUAGUUGGUAGGGUAACGGCCUACCAAGGCCAUGAUGCGUASCGACUUGAGAGGGUGAUCGGCCACACUGGAACUGAGACACGGUCCAGACUCCUACGGGAGGCAGCAGUAGGGAAUCUUCCACAAUGGGUGCAAGCCUGAUGGAGCAAUGCCGCGUGAGUGAAGAAGGACUUCGGUUCGUAAAGCUCUGUUGUUGGGGAAGAACACGGAUAGGAGUCACUGCCUAUCCCUUGACGGUACCCAACCAGAAAGUCACGGCUAACUACGUGCCAGCAGCCGCGGUAAUACGUAGGUGACAAGCGUUGUCCGGAUUUAUUGGGCGUAAAGCGAGCGCAGGCGGUCCGGUAAGUCUGAUGUGAAAGCCCACGGCUCAACCGUGGAACGGCAUUGGAAACUGGCGGACUUGAAUGUAGCAGAGGAAAGUGGAAUUCCAUGUGUAGCGGUGGAAUGCGUAGGUAUAUGGAGGAACACCAGUCGCGAAAGCGACUUUCUGGRCUAUGAUUGACGCUGGGGCUCGGAAGGGUGGGG